GCUACAGCUGAAGUGAUGGAGACGGCGGGCGCGCUGUGUCUGAGCCGGUUCCGAGCCCAGCGGUUGUUGCUAAACAACCAGCCCUGACGCUUGAGAUGUCAACGAGUGCAAUCCCUACCCCAAGCCAUCACAGUCCUGCUAACGCUCAACCACUGUCUGAGGGAGAAGAAGGCAAAGGAGAAAAGCCCCAAACCGCAGCACUUUCCCUUCCGCCAUGGUCUGCAGCUCUGACACGUCAUCGUCGCGAGCGGACGGCGGAACGACACCUCGGGGAGCACCCCUGGAUGUGAGGGCUGGCACCCACCACCUCGAGGAGUUACCCAGCUCCUGCCUGCCUGUGCCCGAGGGACACCUGGAAUCCUGAGAUACGAGCGUCUGAAGAGCCUGAGCUAUUUUGGGAUUUGUCUGUACUACACUGAAAAUGACACCUGUUACGCACAGACACAAAUGAGAAGAAUUACAAGCUCCUGGUUCCUCAGAUGUGAUUCUGCAGAAAAUGGAAUGAGAUCCUGCGAGGCAGGGACCUGGGAGAGCAGCACAGGCAGUGCUGUGGGGUGAAGGGGAUGACCCCGGUGAACUGAACAGCCAGACACCAGUACAAAAAAAUAUAAAAAGUCUGUUGGAGCUGAUGCAAGGGGAAAUCAAGCCUCCAUGUGACCAGAAGAAGUAGUGCAUGAUCAACUAAAUGCCACAAUACAUGGUUUCUUAUGCAAUCAAACCCAUGGGAGUUCAAGCCUUGCACAUACACUUUGUGGCCAGAGCUGCGAGGAUUAACUCCUUCGGUUAACAACGGCGAGAGCGCCCGGCUCCUGAAAUGAGUCACCCUCGCUGAAGUAGGCCAGUGUUUGCUGCCAUGGGAAGCUGCCUGUGCUGGUUUCAGUUACCCCCCUGAGUUAUCUCAGAAGCUCCAACGUGCAGGGUCAGGGCGGAUUUUCCACGUUCCCCGUUUUCCCCGCUGGUUUGCACCGCCCCAGCUCUGUGCAGGCAGAGGGGCCACCUCGCUGGACCCACCAGCACCACGGAGCUCUGAACGUGACUGAGCGAGGUAAAAAACACUUGGAGCCUCAGGAAGGGGACAGCUGACUGGUGCUUUUAGCUCCCAGCGGUUUUAUCAGUCGUGUGGUGUAUUAAGAAGGUAAAAUGAAGCUUUGAUUUAUUUGAAAUUACCUCUUUUUGGUUGCUUGCAUGGGAAAGGUGGCAUGCAUCUUAUGGUUUGCUUUCAUUUGAAAAUCUCCAAUCCUGAGGAAUGUUUCUACCUUUACCUGGCUGUGAGUACCUUCUGGUGGCACUCAGGCUCCCAAGAAGACUCAAAGCCAACACUGCCCUGUGUGCAACUAAGUGUGUAACUAAGAAGACCUGGCACAGUGGAAAACUUCAGCACUUGGAACUGAGUAAAGAGGUCCCAAAAAAAUUAAAGUCAUGUUCUGGCGCUGUUUCUGUAAAGAAAUAGAGGCCAUCAUUCCAUAGUAGAAAUUUAGUCUGCUUUUCAAAGUGGAGCCCACAUACUUAUUUUCGACUUUUUGCCUUUUUUUUUUUUUUUUUUUUUUCCCCUCCAAAGUCUAAAAGCAGGAAACAGAGCUUUGGUUUUGUAAAAACUGCCUAUGAGGGUGCAAAGUCCUGGGCUAGAAAGCAAGCUUGGUAAAUGGAAAUAUUCCACAGCCACGGUUGGAAGCAGAAUGAUCAGUAUCACCGUGUGAAUGGCAGUGUGAGAAUCCAUUCCAAAAGGAGGGCUCGCAGCUGAUCACAGCUGGGCCAUGGGUUAAAAAAAAAAAUAAAAAAACUUUUUAUAGUGUAGGCACUGUAACAAGAUUUCACAACUUGUAACUGCAGCGCUUCAGGCUGGAUGUCGGGGGGAACAUUUUUUCUUGAGGAGCGUGGGAAGGAUUGGAACCCCCCAGACACCAAAAGCCUGCUGUCAUUGACAAGAAGGAUCAGGGAGCAAUUCCUCAGUGAGCACAGGAAGUGUGGGCUUGCACUGCUUCUGGGCCAAACUGUACCUAAAGGUUCAUCCUCAGUUCUCCGGCGUCUCCCGUGCCGUUCUCUGCUGUCACACUGCGAUGACCUUAAUAGCAAUAACACAUGGAGGCUGACAUUCCAAACAUCUCCCCCUCUCCUGCACAUCACUGUUGCUCUGGUGGGUGAUAAAACAACCUCUGCCAUCCACUGAGGAAGGCCCUUGGUCUUUUUCACGAUGAAGGAAACCCUCGUGGUCCUGCCCCGCGCUUCCAGCUUCCUGCUGGCGAAGCCUUGGCUCGGCUCGCGGAUUAAAUGCCAUCGGCCACACCUUCCUCCACUGCAGGAAACACAUUGUUAAAAUCAGGGCAUGUUCCUGUUUAACUAAAAGGCUGAGAUAAAUAAUCCAAAGGCCCCGAUUAUGCCAAACAAAUUCCUGCCCGAGACGCAGCAAGCCCGGGCAGCUGUAAAUCUGUGACCCCUCGGCCUCGGCAUCCACGUAAGUGACGUCUUGGCACAUCAGCAGGGGAGAGGCUGGGGAUAAAGGGAGGGAGCCAAGAGUCGGGCAAAGGUGGACGGGGAGAAUGGAAAAGUUCCUUCCCUUGAGCAAUCUGGAGUCCGAAAAGUUGCUUUAAAAUGCAAACUAGUCCGUUUUUCAGGUGUUGAUGUAGGGAGGGCUCUUUUUUUUAAGACCUUUUAUUUGUCAGCCUUACAAAGAACUCACCACCUCUGUGAAAUGACUGUUUCCAACAAAAUUCUGUGUCGGCACAGAAUUCUCAGCCAGCUCCAUUCAGGGAAUACCAUCAGAAACAGGGACGUGUAGCCCAUCUGCCAGGACUAUUUCCCCUAAGCCUCACCGAUCAGAGGGUAGUUAAUUUUUAAAUUUUUCUUUCGACUGUUGAAAUAAAAAAAAAUCAUCCUUUAAAAAACCCCAUAAUUAACUCUUUGCUGCGGCAAAACAAUUGUCUGCAUUGACCAGGAAUAAAGUAAUUUUAGUUGUUGCUUGGGGAAACUGGCAAGUUUUUCAUGUUUUCUUUUUAAAAUCAAUAUAAUUUUGCAUAAGGGAAGGCUGAGUAAAAUAAAGGUUAAAUAAUUUGACCCACGUUGUAUGUGGGAUCAGGGUCAAAGCUGACAGGGCGUUCCUUGCUCCCAGAUUUUAUUCAAGUUAUAGUCCUUAUUCAAUUAUAGUUCUUUAUUGUCCAGAAGGCCCCCAAUCAAUUGAG
Molecule: long non-coding RNA, 3176 nt
Organism: Empidonax traillii (willow flycatcher)
Lineage: Eukaryota; Metazoa; Chordata; Aves; Passeriformes; Tyrannidae
Exons: 3
Source: RefSeq, a predicted model, not a curated record